Sinocyclocheilus grahami is the source of this 442-nucleotide long non-coding RNA. RefSeq lists it as uncharacterized. Lineage: Eukaryota; Metazoa; Chordata; Actinopteri; Cypriniformes; Cyprinidae. The transcript has 4 exons. The record is from RefSeq and is a predicted model, not a curated record.
AACUCGUCACAUCAAUGAAGGUGAUGCUGUCACAUUCCAAAACAGCCUUGUUGGAAGCAUAUUAUACCUCACUUGAAGACAGCAGGUUCAACAGCAUUCUGGAUCAGAUUAAAUCACUGAUUAAUGAUGACACCAGUUACAUGAAAGGUGGUUUGUCCAUGCUCGCACAGAAGUGCUAUGCUGUGCGGCCCAACGUCAGCGAAUUCUUAGAUAUUGCAUGACGAGCCUACACAGAAGUGACCAGACAGAAGAACAACUAUGGGUUCACCAUGUAGACCUCAUGAAAAUGAAUGAUCACUGUGAGGAGGCUUUGAAAGACAUUUUCCACAUGUCUUAAGUGGUGGUGUCCAGGUUAUUGAGUGAGCUCUAUGAACACAUCCACUGCCUGUACAAACUGUCUGAUGCUGUGUUAAUGCUGGACAUGUUGCUCUCUUUGGCUCAC